UUUCCGUAGGUGAACCUGCGGAAGGAUCAUUACAUUCAGUAGCCCAGCUACUUGUUUACACCCUUGUUUUUUUUUGCGUACCUAUCGUUUCCUCGGCGGGCUUGCCUGCCGGUUGGACAACAUUUAAACCUUUUUAAAUCUUCAAUCAGCGUCUGAAUAAUAUACAAUAAUUACAACUUUCAACAACGGAUCUCUUGGUUCUGGCAUCGAUGAAGAACGCAGC
This 223-nucleotide unclassified non-coding RNA is filed under the name uncultured fungus. Its description in RNAcentral is "sequence contains ITS1, 5.8S rRNA gene". The stretch from base 175 to 223 matches the Rfam family "5.8S ribosomal RNA", at positions 1 to 49 of the family's 154-position model. The record is from RNAcentral. Lineage: Eukaryota; Fungi.